UUUUAUGUUUUCAACCUGAGAUUGACAUGUUUUUUUCUCCUUUGCUAUUUUUUUGGAAGUGGUGAUGUCAUUACACGUACUCUUUGGCAAUCAAAUGCCAUGCAAUUUAUCAAUUAUUGCAACACCCAUCCAAACGGUCAACCAAUCAGGAUAAUCUUAACACAUGCUACAAUCAAGAAAAGAAAAGGUAAUUAACUACCAUGUGUUUUCAGUUCAUGGUGUGGCUCAAAGCUUUUCAUUGAUGAAGAAAUAAGAGACAUUCAUAAAUAUAAGAAAAUGUACUAUGCAUAUACUUUAAUUUACUCAUCUACCUAUAGUCUUUUGUAAUUAUUAAUAUGACAGUGGUAAAGUUGUUAUUGUAGUUUUCUUACUUUUGAGGAUUCUGCAAUUUCUGAUGAAGGAAACCUGAAGUCGGAUGGCAAUGAAUCCCUGCCAUUCAAAACUGUGAGUCGAUGCAACCUUUGUUUUUGCUAAUUUCCAAUGCAAAGGUAAUUCAUGUAAUAUCUUGCAUACAUUUAAAUUUUUGGACUUUUGUGGUUAGUCUCUGUCUAUUACUAUUGACCAUGAUCCAGACCACCUUCAAGUCCUAACUCCAGCCAUGAGGUUGUCGUCUAAAUUAGUUUUGGACUUGGUUCAAAGCCCUUUAUAUAGUUCCAGUCAAUUGUCAUCUUCAAAGGUGACAAAACAUUUCAAGAUUGAGUGAUAUUUGAUAUUACUUUUUCCAGUUGUAUAUAACCACUUAGCUUACAACAUUUUUUGGUGCAUCACAAGUAUGAUGUAUAUGAUACACUGACCUGAAUUUAUGUGACCUCAUUUUUUGUUGACCUCAUCUCCCUAACAAGGAAACAACUCUACCAUGUUAGCAAGUGAUACUUACAAACCCAAGUACUGAAUCCUAUAUAAGUUUUGUAUAACCUAAUUGGGAUCUUCAAGUGUCUGUUUU
Molecule: non-coding RNA, 943 nt
Organism: Lupinus albus (white lupine)
Lineage: Eukaryota; Viridiplantae; Streptophyta; Magnoliopsida; Fabales; Fabaceae
Source: the annotation of a GenBank genome assembly